This is a long non-coding RNA of Lates calcarifer (barramundi perch), 478 nucleotides long. RefSeq lists it as uncharacterized. Lineage: Eukaryota; Metazoa; Chordata; Actinopteri; Centropomidae. The transcript is spliced from 4 exons. The record is from RefSeq and is a predicted model, not a curated record.
AAUUCGCGGGGAUCUAUGUCGAGCGGCGGAUGAGGACAGCGGAAAGCCCAACAGAGCAGACCAGUAUAAGAUGGAAUGAUAAUAUCAGAGGGAGGACCAAUUGGUCGACGAACAUUUGAUUGGCACAUUCACUUGUGAAGCUCCUACAGUACACCUGGGGAAAGGCGCAUAUAUUUGCCAUGGAAGUGAUCAUAUCGCAGCUCUAUACCAAGCAUCAAACAAUGUUUGGUUUGUUGCCUUUAAAAAGUAGGACAAGCAGCAUGGAGGCAAAACAAGAUCAAGGUUGAACGAUGAGCACCAUAGCUUUGAAAAUGGGUUACCCCCAUGCAGCCGCCCACGCAUCAGCUCACCUUUCUGGCCAUGAUGAUUCCUGAUGGUUUGUGGCACUCCUUGUUGACGACACCCCCAUUGCCUGCACCCAGCUCACAGAUACGAUGGAAAUCAUCAUCUUUCAACUCGCCUACCUUGGCCUUCUGGG